Gorilla gorilla gorilla (western lowland gorilla) is the source of this 426-nucleotide long non-coding RNA. RefSeq lists it as uncharacterized. NCBI's taxonomy places the organism in Eukaryota, Metazoa, Chordata, Mammalia, Primates, Hominidae. The record is from RefSeq and is a predicted model, not a curated record. The transcript is spliced from 4 exons.
UAGAACUAGGUACAAUUUUCACAGAGUGAAGAAGCAGAUGUGUUUUGUCCUUAAUGAAAGCAUUAGACAGUGUUACUUCUAUUCAGCAAAUGUGACUGGCGUUUUCUUAUGGCUCUGGACUUCAUUACUUCCUUACUGCAACCUGGCGCUUAAAGUGCUAUCAUCACAAGGAUGAAGAAACAAUUCAGAAAGGCCGAUUGAGAUGGCUAUGGUCAUGCCUUAUACCACUGGCAGUGUUAACAUCUGGGCCAAACAUCUGGGCAGCAACAUCAGAAAGCCCCUCUGCUGUGCUUCAGGAUCACUCUUAUCACUGCAUAAAGGGUAUGCUACAUUUUUGCAGAAAGUCAGGAGGUUUAGAAACCACACAGAGAAACAUUGCUUGGAAAGGGGAACUCUUCAAUCGUCUAAGAUUACAGAUCUUGGAAU